This 1204-nucleotide long non-coding RNA is filed under the name Parus major (Great Tit). RNAcentral describes it as "lncRNA (ENSPMJG00000014710.1)". Lineage: Eukaryota; Metazoa; Chordata; Aves; Passeriformes; Paridae. The record is from RNAcentral.
ACAUCAAACACAUCCCUUCUUCUUUUUAUUUUGUUAUAGCUGUUGUCUCCUGCUCUGGGUCACAUGAAGAAAACUCUUCUUCACCAAAUCCAACUCAGAAGCUCUCCCUGAUUAAAAAUAGGAUGGUUUCAUUGCAUCAGCCUUCUAAACCAGAAGUCUCCUGUGUCAUCGGCUCAAGCUGCUCGUGGGUGACGUCCACAGACGCUUUUGGGAAACCAGACUGGGUGUUAUCUUCCAUUGGUGUCCUGGCAGCCCAGGAGAGGCAGCAGAUGCUUCUGGAAAACAGUUCCUCCUGCAAAGAUGUUGAAGGUAGGCAGAGCUCCGGUUGCCGUCGAAUGGACACCUGCUUUAGCCCAGCUCCGGCUGCAGCAGGAGUCAGCCUCAGGCCCUUGUCACUGAAAGUUCCACCAUGUGCUGGCUCUGGUGCAGAGCUCCCAAAGGCACAGCCAGUGCCCAAGAGCCAGUAGGAACCAUGUAAUUCACGUGAGCUGCCUUGGUUGUCUAUGGAGGUACCCUCUGAACAGCAGGCCCCCUUAUAUAUUCAUUUUCUAUCUCCCCAAUUUGGGAUAAGCUACUUUUACUUACACAGACUGGAUUUUUCUUCGGAAUUUCAAUCCUAUACAAGCCAGAGCUGGCUCCACUUGUCUGCUGUCUGACUGGCAAAGUCUUUGGCUUUUGUUUUGUUGGACAUAUCUUCAUGCUUUUUUUGGUUUCUUCUCUUCUUGUUUCUUCUAUAACUUCUUUACUUAAACCCUUAUAUUUUACUUUAUUCUCUCACUACUUUUCUUUUUUUUUCUUUUUUGCAUAGUUCUUCCUUUAUUUUCCUUUAUUCCUUGCUUUGAACUCCUUAUCCAUUUUCCUCUUAUUAUCUCUCUUCCAUCUGUGCCGUGUGUCUCUUGUUUUGUUGUGUUUUUUUUUCUCUUCACAGGGGACAUUUUCCUCCUGAGCACCAGUAGACUCCCAGAUAGAUGUGAGUUCAGCCUGCAAAGCCCCAUCCUACCUGGGAGCUUGGAUUCUUGCUUUCUGGAACUGGCCAUAUGUUCACAGGAUGCUGUUCCUCUCCUCCAGAGAUUCACAGUUGAAAUUAAAUACGUGGAGACAGACAAAAAUACAAUAACUUCUCUGAGAGCUGGCCAUGAGGAGAAUUCCAGGUAAGACAAUCAAUUUUCAACUGUUAAGCCUUUGAAUUGCAAGGUAGAGUGGA